RNAcentral lists this unclassified non-coding RNA (253 nucleotides) under uncultured Euzebyales bacterium. RNAcentral's name for it is "contains 16S-23S intergenic spacer region". It matches the Rfam family "Bacterial small subunit ribosomal RNA", at positions 524 to 776 of the family's 1533-position model. Lineage: Bacteria; Bacillati; Actinomycetota; Nitriliruptoria; Euzebyales. The record is from RNAcentral.
UACGUAGGGGGCAAGCGUUGUCCGGAAUUAUUGGGCGUAAAGAGCUCGUAGGCGGUUCGUUAAGUCGGGUGUGAAAUCUCAGGGCUCAACCCUGAAACUGCAUCCGAUACUGGGGGACUUGAGGCAGGUAGGGGAGAGUGGAAUUCCUGGUGUAGCGGUGAAAUGCGCAGAUAUCAGGAGGAACACCCGUGGCGAAGGCGGCUCUCUGGGCCUGUUCUGACGCUGAGGAGCGAAAGCGUGGGGAGCAAACAGG